AGGAAAUAGAUACCCCGGUAGUCCACGCCGUAAACGAUGGGCACUAGGUGCUGGGGGGAGCGACCCCUUCAGUGCCGCAGCUAAACGCGAUAAGUGCCCCGCCUGGGGAGUACGGCCGCAAGGCUGAAACUCAAAGGAAUUGACGGGGGCCCGCACAAGCGGUGGAGCAUGUGGUUUAAAUUCGAAGCAACGCGAAGAACCUUACCUAGGUUUGACAUGUAGCUGAAAGCCUCUGGAAACAGGGGCCCUUCUUCGGAACAGCUACACAGGUGCUGCAUGGCUGUCGUCAGCUCGUGUCGUGAGAUGUUGGGUUAAGUCCCGCAACGAGCGCAACCCUUGCCCGUGUUACUAACAGGUAAAGCUGAGGACUCUCGGGGGACUGCCGGCGUCAAGCCGGAGGAAGGUGGGGACGACGUCAAGUCAUCAUGGCCCUUACGCCUAGGGCGACACACGUGCUACAAUGGCGAGGACAGAGGGCAGCGAAGCGGCAACGUGAAGCGAAUCCCAGAAACCUCGUCUAAGUUCGGAUUGUGGGCUGCAACUCGCCC
This 548-nucleotide ribosomal RNA is filed under the name uncultured bacterium. RNAcentral describes it as "bacterial SSU rRNA". It matches the Rfam family "Bacterial small subunit ribosomal RNA", at positions 773 to 1317 of the family's 1533-position model. The record is from RNAcentral.